This 331-nucleotide signal recognition particle RNA is filed under the name Candidatus Bathyarchaeota archaeon. RNAcentral's name for it is "signal recognition particle sRNA". It matches the Rfam family "Archaeal signal recognition particle RNA". Lineage: Archaea; Thermoproteati; Candidatus Bathyarchaeota. The record is from RNAcentral.
CGGCAGGUCUUAGGCGGGGGGCUAGGGGUCCCCUGAGAGGCAGACGGCCUCGACCGUAAACCCCCUAUACGACGGGCCGAAAGCUGAGGUGAGGCGCAAAAGAUCAUCGGUCUCCUCCAGCCUCUCAAGCAGUGACUAUCCGUCCUCUGGGGCCGACGGUCACGGAGCGUCCUCUGUAAGGAGGACGUAACCGUGUUUGCCAAGCGAACCUGGCCAGGCCCGGGAGGGAGCAACCUAAGCUUGGACGUUCGGCGCUCAGAGGGGUGCGGGUACGAGUUAGAGGGUUGGAGGAGCCGGUGAAAACUAUGCGUCGAGCCUCAGUGACCUGCCG